This 450-nucleotide ribosomal RNA is filed under the name uncultured prokaryote. Its description in RNAcentral is "bacterial SSU rRNA". It matches the Rfam family "Bacterial small subunit ribosomal RNA", at positions 355 to 796 of the family's 1533-position model. The record is from RNAcentral.
UCGAGAAUCUUUCGCAAUGGGCGAAAGCCUGACGAAGCGACGCCGUGUGAACGAAGAAGGCCUUCGGGUUGUAAAGUUCUUUCGCUAGGGAACAAGGCUUUAGGGGGAAUAUCCCUAAAGUUUGAGGGUACCUGGUAAAGAAGCACCGGCUAACUCCGUGCCAGCAGCUGCGGUAAUACGGAGGGUGCAAGCGUUAAUCGGAUUUACUGGGCGUAAAGGGCGCGUAGGCGGGCCGAAAAGUCAGGUGUGAAAUUUCAUGGCUCAACCAUGAAGCUGCACUUGAAACUUUUGGUCUAGAGGAUAGAGCGGGGAAAGCGGAAUUCCACAUGUAGCGGUGAAAUGCGUAGAUAUGUGGAGGAACACCGGUGGCGAAGGCGGCUUUCUAGCCUAUGCCUGACGCUGAGGCGCGAAAGCGUGGGGAUCAAACAGGAUUAGAUACCCCCGUAGUCC